CCCCGAACUGGUGUCAGAACCUCCCGGCCUCCGCGAGGGAGAGGCGUCGGCCCGUGCCACACCAGGAAACGUUUGCUGACUGCUGCCCUAGACCACAGACUCAGAAAACCUCCUGGUGACUGUAGCUCUGCUCCUGACCGUGGAUAAAUCUGAAAAAAAGAAAAAAAAAAUGUGCCGUUUGGACCAAGUGAUCUCUGAGUUCUCUAAAAAUUCGAGAAGCCUGGGAAAGCAGUUCAUACGCAGCUCUGAGCCACUCCUGCUCUGCGUCUGCUCCUGGGGCUCCCGCCUCUGGACUCCCAGCACCCCAGGAAUGCCGUGAUUCAGAGACGCGAGCCCUGCCCUGGACGCUCUUCCGUCCCAGCGCCCGAGACUGGGAGCUUCCUGUGGGCAGGGGCCCUGCUCUCUCUCUGUGCCAGCGCUCCGUCAUCGAACUGGCCCUGAGGACAUGCAGUGGACUUUCAUGAAAUGAGUGUUCCGGACCUUGUAGCCUUGGGACAGGACUCUGAGUGUCAUCGAGUCACACAGUGAGGAAGCCCUGGCCUUUUCAACUCCGUGCCCGUCCUUCUCAUCGCAGCAAGCAGAACACUCGGUUGGUUCCAUGCCCCCUACCCCUGCCUGUCUCCAUAUAUAACCCAAACCAGGCAGGUCCUAGACUCAGACUUCGCAGACAAAUGUGUCUAGCAUUGUUUUAGUUUGGAAUUAUCUUCAAUUUAUUGCAAGUGAUACAGGUUUUUCACUUAUAACAGCAAAAUUGUUUCCUUUAAAUUUGUUUUAAAUUUUAAUUCAUUUUCAGGCAGAGAGGAAAGUUGCAAGCACAGUACAAAGAAUUCCUGGAUACCCCCAUCUGGAUUCCCUAGUGUUAAUAUUCUCUCUCUCUCCUCCCACAACACACACACACACACACAACACACACACACACACACACACAGAUGAUUUUUUUUUAACCAUUUAAGAGUUUGUUGCCCUUUUACCCCUAAAUGCAUCAAUACUUCAGCAUGUAUUUCCUAAAAGCAAGAAUGUUUUCGUACAUAAGUACAGUACAUUUUUCAAAAUCAGGGAAUGAACACCGUCAUAACACUGUUAUUGAAUCUCCAGACCUCGUUCCUGCGUCACUACCUGUCCCAAUAACGUCUUUGAUAGCAAAAGAAAGUCCCCGGCUGCGCCUUGCGUUCAGGUGGCAUGCCUCUUCGGCUCCUUUAAUCUGAAACAGUUCUUGAGUCUUUGUAUUUUGUGACAUCAGUGUUUUCGAAAAGUACAUGCCAGA
Long non-coding RNA from Lemur catta (Ring-tailed lemur), 1264 nucleotides. RefSeq lists it as uncharacterized. The transcript has 3 exons. The record is from RefSeq and is a predicted model, not a curated record. Lineage: Eukaryota; Metazoa; Chordata; Mammalia; Primates; Lemuridae.